This 716-nucleotide ribosomal RNA is filed under the name uncultured bacterium. Its description in RNAcentral is "bacterial SSU rRNA". It matches the Rfam family "Bacterial small subunit ribosomal RNA", at positions 69 to 762 of the family's 1533-position model. The record is from RNAcentral.
CUUCUUUUUCCCCGGAGCUUGCUCCACCGGAAAAAGAGGAGUGGCGAACGGGUGAGUAACACGUGGGUAACCUGCCCAUCAGAAGGGGAUAACACUUGGAAACAGGUGCUAAUACCGUAUAACAAUCAAAACCGCAUGGUUUUGAUUUGAAAGGCGCUUUCGGGUGUCGCUGAUGGAUGGACCCGCGGUGCAUUAGCUAGUUGGUGAGGUAACGGCUCACCAAGGCCACGAUGCAUAGCCGACCUGAGAGGGUGAUCGGCCACAUUGGGACUGAGACACGGCCCAAACUCCUACGGGAGGCAGCAGUAGGGAAUCUUCGGCAAUGGACGAAAGUCUGACCGAGCAACGCCGCGUGAGUGAAGAAGGUUUUCGGAUCGUAAAACUCUGUUGUUAGAGAAGAACAAGGAUGAGAGUAACUGUUCAUCCCUUGACGGUAUCUAACCAGAAAGCCACGGCUAACUACGUGCCAGCAGCCGCGGUAAUACGUAGGUGGCAAGCGUUGUCCGGAUUUAUUGGGCGUAAAGCGAGCGCAGGCGGUUUCUUAAGUCUGAUGUGAAAGCCCCCGGCUCAACCGGGGAGGGUCAUUGGAAACUGGGAGACUUGAGUGCAGAAGAGGAGAGCGGAAUUCCAUGUGUAGCGGUGAAAUGCGUAGAUAUAUGGAGGAACCCAGUGGCGAAGCGGCUCUCUGGUCUGUACUGACGCUGAGCUCGAAGCGU